Bison bison bison is the source of this 313-nucleotide unclassified non-coding RNA. It matches the Rfam family "Metazoan signal recognition particle RNA". From Rfam's summary of the family: The signal recognition particle (SRP) is a universally conserved ribonucleoprotein. It is involved in the co-translational targeting of proteins to membranes. NCBI's taxonomy places the organism in Eukaryota, Metazoa, Chordata, Mammalia, Artiodactyla, Bovidae. The record is from Ensembl.
GCCGGGCACGGUGGCGCGCGCCUGUAGUCCCAGCUACUUGGGAGGCUGAGGCUGGAGGAUCGCUUGAGCCCAGGAGUUCUGGGCUGCAGUGCGCUAUGCUGAUCGGGUGUCCGCGCUAAGUUCAGCAUCAAUAUGGUGACGUCCCGGGAGCGGGGGACCACCAGGUUGCCUAAGGAGGGGUGAACCAGCCCAGGUCAGAAAUGGAGCAGGUCAAAACUCCCAUGCUGAUCAGAAAGUAGAAUGAUUGUUGCCAGGGGGUAGGGGGAGGGAGGCAAAGAGGAGUUGCUGUUCAAUGGAAGAGACUUUCAGUUUU